AGUGAACGCUGGCGGUAGGCCUAACACAUGCCAGUCGAACGGCAGCACAGUAAGAGCUUGCUCUUACGGGUGGCGAGUGGCGGACGGGUGAGGAAUACAUCGGAAUCUACUUUUUCGUGGGGGAUAACGUAGGGAAACUUACGCUAAUACCACAUACGACCUACGGGUGAAAGCAGGGGAUCUUCGGACCUUGCGCGAUUGAAUGAGCCGAUGUCGGAUUAGCUAGUUGGCGGGGUAAAGGCCCACCAAGGCGACGAUCCGUAGCUGGUCUGAGAGGAUGAUCAGCGACACUGGAACUGGAACACGGUCCAGACUCCUACGGGAGGCAGCAGUGGGGAAUAGUGGACAAUGGGCGCAAGCCUGAUCCAGCCAUACCACGUGGGUGAAGAAGGCCUUCGGGUUGUAAAGCCCUUUUGUUGGGAAAGAAAAGCAGCAGGUUAAUACCACGCUGUUCUGACGGUACCCAAAGAAUAAGCACCGGCUAACUUCGUG
RNAcentral lists this ribosomal RNA (492 nucleotides) under uncultured bacterium. Its description in RNAcentral is "partial 16S ribosomal RNA". It matches the Rfam family "Bacterial small subunit ribosomal RNA", at positions 29 to 507 of the family's 1533-position model. The record is from RNAcentral.